Molecule: ribosomal RNA, 459 nt
Filed under: uncultured bacterium
Lineage: Bacteria
Description: partial 16S ribosomal RNA
Rfam family: Bacterial small subunit ribosomal RNA
Source: RNAcentral
CCUACGUGAGGCAGCAGUGAGGAAUAUUGGUCAAUGGCCGAGAGGCUGAACCAGCCAAGUAGCGUGAGGGAUGACUGCCCUACGGGUUGUAAACUUCUUUUAUAAAGGAGUAAAGUGAGUCACGUGUGCCUUUUUGUAUGUACUCGAUGAAUAAGCAUCGGCUAACUCCGUGCCAGCAGCCGCGGUAAUACGGAGGAUGCGAGCGUUAUCCGGUUUUAUUGGGUUUAAAGGGUGCGCAGGGGGUGGUGAAAGUCAGUGGUAAAAUUUGGGGGCUCAACCUAAAACUGCCGUUGAUACUGUAUGCCUUGAGUGCAGGUGAGGUAUGCGGAAUGCGUGGUGUAGCGGUGAAAUGCUGAGAUAUCACGAAGAACUCCGAUUGCGAAGGCAGCUUACCAGCGUGCAACUGACACUGAUGCACGAAAGUGUGGGUAUCGAACAGGAUUAGAUACCCGGGUAGUC